This 253-nucleotide ribosomal RNA is filed under the name uncultured bacterium. Its description in RNAcentral is "partial 16S ribosomal RNA". It matches the Rfam family "Bacterial small subunit ribosomal RNA", at positions 524 to 776 of the family's 1533-position model. The record is from RNAcentral.
GACGUAGGGGGCGAGCGUUGUCCGGAAUCACUGGGCGUAAAGAGCUCGUAGGCUGGGUUGCGCGUCGUGGAGUAAAUUUCUCUGCUCAACGGAGACAUCAUCUGCGAUACGGCAACUCUUGAGGACAGGAGAGGAAAGCGGAAUUCCGAGUGUAGCGGUGAAAUGCGUAGAUAUUCGGAGGAACACCAGUGGCGAAGGCGGCUUUCUGGCCUGAUUCUGACGCUGAGGAGCGAAAGCCAGGGUAGCGAACGGG